RNAcentral lists this transfer-messenger RNA (348 nucleotides) under endosymbiont 'TC1' of Trimyema compressum. It matches the Rfam family "transfer-messenger RNA". Rfam says of the family: Bacterial tmRNA, also known as 10Sa RNA or SsrA, is named for its dual tRNA and mRNA-like properties. Its role is to liberate the mRNA from a stalled ribosome. To accomplish this part of the tmRNA is used as a reading frame that ends in a translation stop signal. Lineage: Bacteria; Bacillati; Bacillota. RNAcentral also lists the same sequence under 1 other name. The record is from Rfam by way of RNAcentral.
GGGGAUGUACUGGUUUCGACGGAGGAAUGGAAAUACUAGUUGCAGUUUAGGGUGAAUCCGCCUAUUAACGGAUUAACAAAAUUUAAACGCUAAAAAUAAUAAAUUAGCAUUAGCUGCCUAAAGUGGCUACAUCAUCAAUUAUCUUCCUGCGGGUAAUUGUAUGGUGUCAAAUUAAUGCAGGAACCCUUUUCUUUUUUCCUCAAGAAGAAAUAAGGUAAUUAGAGGAUCGUUUGUAAUCAGCCUGUCUAUAGGCUCAGUUGCGAACUAAAAACAAUAUAUAGACUAUAACUGUAGAAACUGGUAUGAAAAUUUUUUCGGACAGGGGUUCGACUCCCCUCAUCUCCACCA